Molecule: ribosomal RNA, 433 nt
Filed under: uncultured bacterium
Lineage: Bacteria
Description: partial 16S ribosomal RNA
Rfam family: Bacterial small subunit ribosomal RNA
Source: RNAcentral
AACGAACGCUGGCGGCAUGCCUAACACAUGCAAGUCGAACGAGACCUUCGGGCCUUGUUGCGCACGGGUGCGUAAGGCGUGGUAACUUGCCCUUGGGUUCGGUAUAAUUCCCCGAGAGGGGUGCUAAUACCGGUGAGUCUCUUCCGGCCAACGAUUUCUGGCCUUUGGAUGGGCGCUGGUUAGAUUCGCCGGUUGGUAGGGUAACAGCCUACCAAGGAGACGAUGCUGAGCUGGUCUGAGAGGAGGAUCAUCCACGCUGGGGCUGAGACACGGACCAGACUGCGACGGAAGGGAGCAGUAGGGAAUAUUAGACGAUGGAGGAAAGCCUAGUAAAGCAAUGUCGGGGGAGUGAUGAAGGGGUUAGGGUUGUAAAGCCGUUUUAGCCGGGAUGAGAAUGACGGUAACGGGAGAAUAAGCACCGGCUAACUACGUG